CAUUAGAUGGCUGAAAGUAAGUACUGGUCUCUUAAACCAUUUAAUAAUAAACUAACGACUAUUUCUAAUG
This 70-nucleotide transfer RNA is filed under the name Helophorus sp. BMNH 724835. Its description in RNAcentral is "tRNA-Lys". Lineage: Eukaryota; Metazoa; Arthropoda; Insecta; Coleoptera; Helophoridae. The record is from RNAcentral.